RNAcentral lists this transfer RNA (67 nucleotides) under Austinogebia edulis. RNAcentral's name for it is "tRNA-Leu". It matches the Rfam family "tRNA". Rfam says of the family: Transfer RNA (tRNA) molecules are approximately 80 nucleotides in length. Their secondary structure includes four short double-helical elements and three loops (D, anti-codon, and T loops). Lineage: Eukaryota; Metazoa; Arthropoda; Malacostraca; Decapoda; Upogebiidae. The record is from RNAcentral.
ACUAAAAUAGCAAAAACAAUGCAUAGGAUUUAGGUUCCUAAGAUGAAAUUAAAUAUUUCUUUUAGUA